CUGUGGGUGUAAUUUAAGGCAGAACUUGGCCUUUCUUACAUAUUUCAUUUACUCCCUUGAUUUUAAUUGACCCUGUUAUGGGCAUUUCAAGCAUUUCACGAGCCUGUGGUGCCUGGUUUCUCAGGUCAGAGAGAGGUUUUCUCAGACCCUCUGUCCCAACAGGGCCUGGCUGUUGGCAGCAUGAGCAGAUACCCCUCCCCUGGAACAACCCUGUUCUGUGGGAUUGGGAUCCAGCUUGAAGGUCACCAAUCCCUCAGACCAAAAGAGGUCAUCAAGACUCUUCAUCCAGCAUGGAAAAGAAGGAUUUCCCCCUCCUUCAGGCUCCUUAUCACUUGCUCAGAGGCUCAGAGCUCCUCCUGGCAGUUUCCCUUGGGAUCAGCGUUGGAGAAGGAGCAUGCUUCAUGCACAUGGGCAGCUGGGAGGCCUCUGCACUUUUUCAAGGUCUGUGAGAUAUUGUGCUUCCCACACGGGCAGUUCCUGCUGCCAGCAGCUGGUUUAGAGGCUCAACAACACCAAAAUCAUUGA
This 525-nucleotide long non-coding RNA is filed under the name Parus major (Great Tit). RNAcentral describes it as "lncRNA (ENSPMJG00000017277.1)". Lineage: Eukaryota; Metazoa; Chordata; Aves; Passeriformes; Paridae. The record is from RNAcentral.